Molecule: ribosomal RNA, 465 nt
Filed under: Vreelandella stevensii
Lineage: Bacteria; Pseudomonadati; Pseudomonadota; Gammaproteobacteria; Oceanospirillales; Halomonadaceae
Description: partial 16S ribosomal RNA
Rfam family: Bacterial small subunit ribosomal RNA
Source: RNAcentral
CCUACGGGAGGCUGCAGUGGGGAAUAUUGGACAAUGGGGGGAACCCUGAUCCAGCCAUGCCGCGUGUGUGAAGAAGGCCCUCGGGUUGUAAAGCACUUUCAGUGAGGAAGAACGCCUGGUGGUUAAUACCCAUCAGGAAAGACAUCACUCACAGAAGAAGCACCGGCUAACUCCGUGCCAGCAGCCGCGGUAAUACGGAGGGUGCGAGCGUUAAUCGGAAUUACUGGGCGUAAAGCGCGCGUAGGUGGCUUGAUAAGCCGGUUGUGAAAGCCCCGGGCUCAACCUGGGAACGGCAUCCGGAACUGUCAAGCUAGGGUGCAGGAGAGGAAGGUAGAAUUCCCGGUGUAGCGGUGAAAUGCGUAGAGAUCGGGAGGAAUACCAGUGGCGAAGGCGGCCUUCUGGACUGACACUGACACUGAGGUGCGAAAGCGUGGGUAGCAAACAGGAUUAGAUACCCGAGUAGUC